GUUAAAUGGAAUCAGUAGGAGAAGGAAGGAAGUUUUAUUUCCCGUCAGGGUUUUUUCUGUUGUUCUGUCGGUAAACGAGGUCGCUCGUAAACUGAUCAGUCUGAAGAAUCGCAUAAAGGUGAGCCUCAUAUUUCUGUGAGAUAUGGCCUCUUCAAUGACUACUGAGGCGAAUGGAGUGAGGGUAGUGACUCAUGUUAUCCCACUGGAGGAAAAAACGGAGUCUUCGGACCUAAAGUCAAGCUCGGUUGAACUUGAAAAGUCCAACCUGUCACCAAAAACCAAGAUGUUCCUAAAGGGGAAGCCUCUGUCGCUGGGGUUGGUGCAGGUGUUUAUUGGUUUGGUGGUCAUGACUCUGUGCACCAUCACGGUGCUUGUGGAUAUGCUGAAUGUUAGGACUGUAAUGUCCCUUGGACUUCCUGUGAGUAAACAUUUUGAGCCCUAAUAACACAAAAUAUU
Sinocyclocheilus grahami is the source of this 456-nucleotide long non-coding RNA. RefSeq lists it as uncharacterized. NCBI's taxonomy places the organism in Eukaryota, Metazoa, Chordata, Actinopteri, Cypriniformes, Cyprinidae. The record is from RefSeq and is a predicted model, not a curated record. The transcript is spliced from 3 exons.